This 305-nucleotide ribosomal RNA is filed under the name uncultured bacterium. Its description in RNAcentral is "bacterial SSU rRNA". It matches the Rfam family "Bacterial small subunit ribosomal RNA", at positions 338 to 641 of the family's 1533-position model. The record is from RNAcentral.
CCUACGGGAGGCAGCCGUGAUUCAUCUUUUUCACUUUUCUUUCUCCUGAACCAGCCAAGCCGCGUGAAGGAAGAAGGCGCCAGGCGUCGUAAACUUCUUUUGUCGGGGAACAAAGGGCGCCACGCGUGGCGUUGUGAGUGUACCCGAAGAAAAAGCAUCGGCUAACUCCGUGCCAGCAGCCGCGGUAAUACGGAGGAUGCGAGCGUUAUCCGGAUUUAUUGGGUUUAAAGGGUGCGUAGGCGGUCCGGAAAGUCAGCGGUAAAAGCACGGGGCUCAACCCCGGCGAGCCGUUGAAACUGUCGGCC